UUUAAUUUAUUAUUAAAUUUGUUAUUUAAAAAAAAUAUUUUUUUUAUUUAUUAUUAUUUAUAGAAAAAUUUUAUAUUAUUAUAGUAUAUUAGUAUUGUGAAAGAAUUAAUUUAAAAAUUAAAAAGAAAAAUUUAUUAUUUGUACCUUGGGUAUCAGGGUUUAUUAAUUAAAUAUUAAAAAUUUUAAUUUUCUCGAUUUUAAAAGAGUUAAUUAUUUAUAAAUUUUAUUGUAAAAUAACUAUUUAUAAUAAAUAAUUAGUAAUGAAACGUUAUUCGUUUUUAAAUAUAUCUAGUUUUUAAAGAAAAAAAUUUAAUUUUAUUUAUAUUAAUUUUAUGAUUUUAUUUUUAAAAUAUUAGAUUAAUAUAAAUUAUAUUAAUUGGGAUAAGCUAAUUAAUAAAUUAUUAUAAAUUAUGGAUUUUUUUUUAAAUUGUAGAAUUAUAAAUUUUCAUCAUUUAGUAUGUUAUAAUUAAUUAAUUUUGAAUAAAAAUUUUUAUAUAAUUUUAAGUUUUUUAUUUAAAUAUUAAAUUUAAUUGUUUAAUUUAAGUAAUAAUGAUAAAAUUAGUAUAAUAUUUUGUAUUAAAUAUUUAAUAUUUCAAGUUUAUUAAAAGGAAUUCGGCAAAUAUAUUUUUCGCCUGUUUAUUAAAAACAUGUCUUUUAGAUUUUAAUUUAAAGUCUAACCUGCCCAAUGAAAAUUUUAAUGGCUGCAGUAUUUUGACUGUACAAAGGUAGCAUAAUCAUUAGUUUCUUAAUUAGGAACUGGAAUGAAAGGUUGGACGAGAAAAUAACUGUCUCUUAAUAAAUUUUUUAGAAUUUUAUUUUUAAGUUAAAAAGCUUAAAUGAUUUUAAAAGACGAGAAGACCCUAUAGAGUUUUAUUAAUAAUAUAUUAAAAUUUUAUUUUGAAUUAUUAAUUUUUUAGUUUAAUAUUAAUUUAAUUGGGGUGAUUAAAAAAUUUAAAUAACUUUUUUUUUAUUUUAACAUUAAUAUAUGAAUAUUUGAUCCAUUUUUAUGAUUAUAAGAUUAAAUUACCUUAGGGAUAACAGCGUAAUUUCUUUUUAGAGUUCUAAUCGAUUAAGAAGUUUGCGACCUCGAUGUUGGAUUAAAAUUAAUUUAUGGUGUAGAAGCUAUAAUAUUAGGUCUGUUCGACCUUUAAAAUUUUACAUGAUCUGAGUUUAAACCGGUGUGAGCCAGGUUGGUUUCUAUCUUUAAAUAUUAUUAAUAUUUUAGUACGAAAGGACCAAAUAUUAUGAAUAAUUUUAUUUAUAAUGAAUAUUAUUAAUUAA
Molecule: ribosomal RNA, 1281 nt
Filed under: Aleocharinae sp. 10 ACP-2013
Lineage: Eukaryota; Metazoa; Arthropoda; Insecta; Coleoptera; Staphylinidae
Description: 16S ribosomal RNA
Rfam family: Archaeal large subunit ribosomal RNA (bases 1034-1192)
Source: RNAcentral